This is an RNA transcript of Oryza brachyantha (malo sina), 2363 nucleotides long. It is a transcript of the gene named arogenate dehydratase 2-like, with no coding region annotated. NCBI's taxonomy places the organism in Eukaryota, Viridiplantae, Streptophyta, Magnoliopsida, Poales, Poaceae. The record is from RefSeq and is a predicted model, not a curated record. The transcript has 13 exons.
AAAAAUCUUUUCCUGCGCGAUCGCGGCGCCACACGCGUGACAAACCCACGCCGACGCCGCCGCUCUCCUUGCUGGCUGCGCUCUCUCGCGACAUCGCGACGCUUCCCCGGUCCCCCCCUGCUGCGCACCGAGCCGGCCGGCGGGCGCGCGCAGCGGCGAUGGAUUCCACGGCCUGCCUCCGCCUCCCCUUCCUCCCCGCCCGGGCCCGCCACUCCUCCUCGUCGUCGUCGCCCCGACGCGCCCCUCGCACGCCCUCCGCCAUCAAAUGCUGCGCCGCCGACGCCGACUCCAGUUCUCUCUCGACAUCGUCAACGUCGCUGCGGCGGCCGGCCGUGGUGAACGGCGUAGACGGCCUCGCGGGUCCGCCCGUGCCUGUCCCAGACUCGCCGCCCCUCGCCUCGCGUGAUCUCCACUGGCUGCCUCGACCUCUCACCAGCGCCGACCUGAUGGACGCGAGCGGGAAGGGGCUCAAGGUUGCCUACCAGGGCUGCCCUGGAGCAUACAGUGAGGCGGCAGCGAAGAAGGCGUACCCGAAUUGCCAGACUGUGCCAUGUGAGCAUUUCGAUACUGCAUUCAAGGCUGUUGAAAAUUGGUUAGCUGAUAGGGCAGUGCUGCCACUUGAGAAUUCUUUGGGUGGUAGCAUACAUAGGAACUUUGACCUCUUACUUCGGCAUAGAUUACACAUUGUUGGAGAGGUCCGUUAUGCUGUUCGCCAUUGCUUGUUAGCCAAUCCUGGUGUCAAGAUUGAAAACUUGAAAAGUGCAAUGAGCCAUCCCCAGGCUCUUGCACAAUGUGAGAACACACUAACAGAUUUUGGAAUUGAACAUAGAGAAGCUGUUGAUGAUACUGCCGGUGCGGCAAAGAUUGUAGCAGAACGACAGCUCCAAGAUACUGGUGCGAUUGCCAGUUUGCUGGCGGCUGAACUUUAUGGACUGGAUGUUCUUGCUGAAAAUAUUCAGGAUGACAAAGAUAAUGUUACCCGUUUUAUGAUGCUGGCUCGAGAACCAAUAAUACCUCGCACUGAUAAACCAUUCAAGACUAGCAUAGUCUUUUCACUUGAGGAAGGACCAGGGCAGCUCUUUAAGGCACUUGGGGUGUUUGCACUGAGGGAAAUCAACCUAACCAAGAUAGAAAGUCGUCCACACAAGAAAAGGCCUCUUCGUAUAACUGACGACAGCUUUUCUACACCAUCAAAGCAGUUUGACUACCUCUUCUAUGUGGACCUUGAGGCAUCAAUGGCUGAUCCAAAGACUCAGAAUGCUCUUGGAAAUUUGAAGGAGUUCGCAACUUUUUUAAGAGUCCUAGGAAGCUAUCCUACAGAUAUGAACGAAGCUUAAAUAGCAAGUACCUUCUACACAUCACAUGCUAGUGGGUCCAAGCAUGUCUAACAAAUAAACUUGCAGCUUUUUGGAUUACCAGGGAUUGAUUGAAUGUGGGCAGUCAAUUUCACAGCCAGUUGAGAAGUCAUAAAUAGUGUCAGACUGAUGCUAAUUUGAAGAGCUAAAGCAUAUCCAUGUAAGAUAUGCAAGGAAGCUGCUUCCUAUAGCCCUCGCAUGUUGCAACUUAUGUUUCUCAGAGCUUUAUACUGAUAGUUACUGUGGAGUAUGGAGUACCAUCUAUGCUCUAUAGACCUUAUGUUAUGCCUUAUGUUCUUCUAAGCAGUCAUGUUCAACGGAGGUAGAGCUCAAAGGAUUGAGUGUUUGGUAGGUGCUGGUCGUACAGGUAAUGGUGUAGAGCAAUUUUGCUUGUUCCCAGUCUCAGGGGCUGCGCUGGUCAAACCCUUUCAGUCGGCUUGCCACCUAACUGUCUUGUAUGUUCAUGUCCUGUAUGUGCUCAUAGUGGCGAGCUCGUAGCAAUUAGUUCAAUCAUGUUUCCCUCAUGUCAUCGUGGCACUGUACGUCUGUACCAACUGUUCGUUCUGUGUCUAUGACAUUCUUUUGGUGGUUUUGGAAGGCACAGUGUGGAGAGGUUCAGUUUGUACGGGUGUGGCCAAACCUUCACCAAAUUUUCUGCCUUCCAAAGAAAAUUGCAGUACUCACAUUGUUGUACUUCAGAGUUCAGAGUGGCAGGUCAAUGAGUUGCAUUUUAGUAGUCGUAACCUUCCUUGGUGGGUAAUUGUUGAGUUGUUGACUGCGUAAUAUUCUCCACGACGAGCAUGUUUGUUAAUCAAUAAAUAUACUGGUGGAAAUUGGACAUGUGGAGAGUAGGUGAUAUUCCUCUUUGGAGGCUACUCUGGCAGCGCUGGAAGAAACAUUCCAGCUGCGAGGGCAUGUGCUUCCGGACUAAUACGAUUCUGCACUGUAAUCUUUGUUAUUUCAUCAAGUUGUCACAAAAUAUCUCAGAAAUUACCAAUUCUCUGAUGG